AAUGAACGCUGGCGGCAUGCCUAACACAUGCAAGUCGAACGAAGGCUUCGGCCUUAGUGGCGCACGGGUGCGUAACGCGUGGGAAUCUGCCCUUGGGUUCGGAAUAACAGUUAGAAAUGACUGCUAAUACCGGAUGAUGUCGUAAGACCAAAGAUUUAUCGCCCAAGGAUGAGCCCGCGUAGGAUUAGCUAGUUGGUGGGGUAAAGGCCUACCAAGGCGACGAUCCUUAGCUGGUCUGAGAGGAAGAUCAGCCACACUGGGACUGGGACACGGCCCAGACUCCUACGGGAGGCGGCAGUGCGGGAUAUAGGACAGUGGGCGGAGGCAUGAAGCAGCAAUGCCGGGUAAGUGAUGAAGGCCUUAAGGAAGUAAAGCUCUUUUACCCGGGAUGAUCUUGACGGUACCGAGAGAAUAAGCUCCGGCUAACUUCGUG
RNAcentral lists this ribosomal RNA (433 nucleotides) under uncultured bacterium. RNAcentral describes it as "partial 16S ribosomal RNA". It matches the Rfam family "Bacterial small subunit ribosomal RNA", at positions 29 to 507 of the family's 1533-position model. The record is from RNAcentral.